GGGCAUCUUGAAUCGCCCUGCAUCAAACACAAAUAUCCUUUGACAUCCAAUUAAGAUGCAGAUGAGUGUGUGUCUGGCUCCUUACAACUUCCUCUUUUGCUACAUUUUUCUUUAGGAUUUGAAUCCCUAUCCAUUUAUUAAUUGGUUCUCUAUGUAAGACGCGCAACUUAUGCUGUGCAACAUUAUGCAUCUUUCUGUUAACAUUUAUAGAACAUUCUUACAUAUGUAUAUUUUUUUCGUAUUAUUUGUUGUUUAGCUCAUUAUCAAUGUUUAUAUUCACUGUUUAUCAGCAAUUUAGCUUGAAUUCAUCUAUGGACAGCUUAUGCCCUGCAUGUUGAUUUUGCGUAGCCUUGUAAUUAAUUUGUUUUGGGCGUCUUAGCUGUUUGUUGCCUUUGGAGAAUCCCUUUCUUGCCAGCACAUAUUGCUUUCUUAAGAUUUUCUUACCGGAGUUUUGAGUGCAUCAAGCAUGAUUUUUAGUCAGAUUUUUUAUAACAAUUUCUGCUUCCCGCCAAAUAUGAUCUUCUUGCGUCAAAUAUGGGAAAAGAGUGCCCCUUAGAUACUGAAUAGUCAAGAGCGGAAUUUUGGUGAUGAGAAUGCUGCCGAGCUGUUCUUGAUGCAUUGGAUAAUAUGCUAAAGGACAGUAUAUAGCAUCUGCGGAUAAUGACGUGGGAUUUGAUAUCAUAAACUAAGGAAUUUGAGAGAUAUGGAACAUGGUCAACAUCACUGUAGAAUUUAUUUGCAGCCACAUGGAGUUAUGCGUAUCUAACUCUGCCUGCGCGGGCUGAAUACAUUCAGGUUCCUGUUCAUUCAUGCUUAUUCUUGUUUGUAAUUAUGCGGAGAACAAUUUGGCAAAGAAAUGAUACAGAAGCAUGGUUGUGAUACUUAUUGGGGCCGCAUGAGGCUUAUGGUGUCUUAUUUGUCAGACUCAGCACUGUUGAGCGGGGCAAGGAAUUGUUAUCUCAAGAGACUUUGUGCUUUGAAUCACUCUGAGAAUAAGUGAUGUUAGAGCUGUCUUUCAAGGUCCAAGUCAACUGUUUCCGGAUUAAAUG
Molecule: long non-coding RNA, 1049 nt
Organism: Neltuma alba
Lineage: Eukaryota; Viridiplantae; Streptophyta; Magnoliopsida; Fabales; Fabaceae
Exons: 2
Source: RefSeq, a predicted model, not a curated record